GACGCACAUUGCGCCCCUUGGUAUUCCGAGGGGCAUGCCUGUUCGAGCGUCAUUGCAACCCCUCAAGCUCAGCUUGGUGUUGGGGCCUGCCGCAGCUGGCAGCCCUUAAAAUCAGUGGCGGUGCCGAUCUGGCUCUAAGCGUAGUAAUUCUUCUCGCUACAGGGUCCCGGUGAGCGCUUGCCAUCAAGCCUAUACUUUCUAUGGUUGACCUCGGAUCAGGUAGGGAUACCCGCUGAACUUAA
This 242-nucleotide unclassified non-coding RNA is filed under the name uncultured fungus. RNAcentral's name for it is "partial contains 5.8S ribosomal RNA, internal transcribed spacer 2, and large subunit ribosomal RNA". Lineage: Eukaryota; Fungi. The record is from RNAcentral.